Mus musculus (house mouse) is the source of this 1025-nucleotide long non-coding RNA. RefSeq annotates it as predicted gene, 40533. NCBI's taxonomy places the organism in Eukaryota, Metazoa, Chordata, Mammalia, Rodentia, Muridae. The transcript has 3 exons. The record is from RefSeq and is a predicted model, not a curated record.
AACUGUAUGGAAAAGCAGGAUAAUGAUAGUGAGUGGAACAAGCAGAUACUGGACAUAGAUGCUCUGAAAUGAAAUGUCCAGAGUAAUGGCUUUGCUGUAGCCUGACAAGCAGCUCCCUUGCUCAUCAACCUUUCCUUGCUCCUCUAAAGGGCUCCUUCCCACUGGUGUUGCAGAGAAACAAGGUAAAGAGUGGGCAGUGUGUUCUGACUAGCCACUGGGGUCCCUGAGGAAAUAAAAGGUGGAACUCUGGAGGUUCUCAGGCCUUCUGUUACAAGUCUGCAAGACAGUGUCAGCAAAGAAGAUCUUUGGAGCAUGGGUGGAGGAUAAGGGUGAUGAACUGAGAGUUCAUAUAAGUGGCAUCCAUCACUGGGAACCUCUCAUGCCUGGUAAAAUGGAGAUAAAUCUGGGCUAAAGUCCCAGCCAUGAUUUUAAAAAGCCUCUGUCCCUAUCGAAGGUGAUGGUGGAGUGAGAUGGAUUGAUGUCCUGGAAAGUGAUGAGGGACAUCGGGACCGAUUCACACAUUGGAGUUGGUGCCCUCCACUCUGACCCGAAGGGCGCCAGCUCACAGUGUGAGGGCCUUGGUCUCUAUAUCCAUCAGCUCAUCUGAUUUUCCUUUGAAACUGACAAGGUGACGUGGGCAACUGUCCACAUGGCUCAGGACAGGGAGCAUCAAGUCAUUCCACAUGGGCCAUCAGACAGCACCUAGAGGUAAUGGCCUUUUGUCAAUAGUGUCCUGGCUUGGAUUCAAAUCAGUGACUUAGGGGUGAAAGGCUCUGGAUUCUAUUAUGAAGUGCCCUGAGCUGUCUAGGGGCUGAAAACCAUCCCUCAUCACACUUAAUGGUGGAAUUUAAGGAGCCGCUCUUGCUUUUUCUGCCUCUCUCUCUUCCUUCUGUUCUUUUGCCUUUUAAAACUUAAAUCCAAGUUUGGAUCAAAUGGACCACUAGACAUGGUGGAAAAGAUCUGUUAAUAUGUUUUUAUUUAUUAUUGAAUAUUGAAUUAUUAUAUAUUGAAGGUUAAAACAUAAC